CUCAAACUCACCGACUUGGUCCUGAAUAUCUUCAGCGACUCCCGGGACCUUGAACAGCAGCCCGAGAGACUGAUUCAUCCUCUCCUCAAUCACAUGCAAAUGGGUCAGCACCUGAGGCCGGAUCUGAGCAGCUUUCUUGGGAUCGACCAUGCGCACGUGUUCAAAGUGUUUGAGUGUGUGCUGUCGGUCCUUCUGCUCGGCGCGAACGUACUUCUUCAGCAGGCUAAACACGUGCCGCGGCUAAAAAGAGACAACAUGAAGAUCAGGAAUCAGCAGUCAGAGAUCUGAAAUCAUCAUACAGCU
Long non-coding RNA from Carassius carassius (crucian carp), 303 nucleotides. RefSeq lists it as uncharacterized. The record is from RefSeq and is a predicted model, not a curated record. The transcript is spliced from 2 exons. Lineage: Eukaryota; Metazoa; Chordata; Actinopteri; Cypriniformes; Cyprinidae.